This 72-nucleotide transfer RNA is filed under the name Streptomyces scopuliridis RB72. It matches the Rfam family "tRNA". From Rfam's summary of the family: Transfer RNA (tRNA) molecules are approximately 80 nucleotides in length. RNAcentral also lists the same sequence under 5 other names. Lineage: Bacteria; Bacillati; Actinomycetota; Actinomycetes; Kitasatosporales; Streptomycetaceae. The record is from Rfam by way of RNAcentral.
UCCCCCAUGGUGUAAUCGGCAGCACUGCGCACUUUGACUGCGCCUGUUCAGGUUCGAGUCCUGAUGGGGGAG